GAAAUGCGAUAAGUAGUGUGAAUUGCAGAAUUCAGUGAAUCAUCGAAUCUUUGAACGCACAUUGCGCCCCUUGGUAUUCCAUGGGGCAUGCCUGUUCGAGCGUCAUUUGUACCCUCAAGCUCUGCUUGGUGUUGGGUGUUUGUCCCCGUCUCCGCGCGUGGACUCGCCCCAAAGUGAUUGGCAGCCGGCGUACUGGUCCCGGAGCGCAGCACAUGUCGCGCAAACGAGUGCCUUGGUACGGCGGCGUCCAUAAGCCCCUCUCUCACGCUCUUGACCUCGGAUCAGGUAGAGAUACCCGCUGAACUUAAGC
Molecule: unclassified non-coding RNA, 310 nt
Filed under: plant metagenome
Description: partial contains 5.8S ribosomal RNA, internal transcribed spacer 2, and large subunit ribosomal RNA
Rfam family: 5.8S ribosomal RNA (bases 1-105)
Source: RNAcentral